RNAcentral lists this ribosomal RNA (200 nucleotides) under uncultured bacterium. RNAcentral describes it as "partial 16S ribosomal RNA". It matches the Rfam family "Bacterial small subunit ribosomal RNA", at positions 29 to 258 of the family's 1533-position model. The record is from RNAcentral.
AACGAACGCUGGCGGCAGGCUUAACACAUGCAAGUCGAACGCUCCGCAAGGAGAGUGGCAGACGGGUGAGUAACGCGUGGGAAUCUACCUAGUUCUACGGAACAACAGAGGGAAACUUCUGCUAAUACCGUAUACGCCCUAAGGGGGAAAGAUUUAUCGGAAUUAGAUGAGCCCGCGUAAGAUUAGCUAGUUGGUGGGUA